CUCUAAUAUCCAGUAUGGCAGUAUCCCUAGAAAGACAAAUGGCAUUGCAAUACUGCUGACAGGGCUAGAAAGAAUCAAGAAUCUAUCACAAAGCAAAUUAAUGUGUAUUUCGGUAACGACAAUAUAAACCACCAAGAAUUAUAACUAAUUUGUAAAGGAGUAACACCCCUCACAAAUCAUCAAAUUUUUGUCUCUCUAAAAUUUCUUCAUAAAAUCAGUGUUUUUGUAUAAAGUCAGUACAACACGAACGAUUUGCAAUCUCGAUGUUUUUAACUAACUUUAUCUUACAUUGUAUGCAUUAUAUAUUAGAUUCACUUUAAUUAUAGACUAUAGGGUUUAUUAUGUGAUAGCAAGUUCAGCAGGCCCUUUCCGUAUAGCAUCAUGAGCAAUAUUUCAACACAGUGAGUGAGCGACUGGGUGGCAUUCGUGAAACAAUGGAACAUUCUGGGGCCGGUUGUUCAAAGCUGGACUAGCGUUACCCCUGGAUUAAAAAAUUAACCUGCCGUUUUAGUUUUUGUACAAAACUUCAGAAAAGAAAACUCCUAUAUUGAUCCACACAAGAUUUCUGAAGAAAUAUUUCAAAUUUUACGCGUAAGACGUUGGGAAGUUUGCUUUGAACUUUAGGUUAAGGUUACAGAACACCUUUGAGUGUUAAUUUUGCCUAAAAUUCUUUUAUUGGUUUCCAUGAAAGCAUUUGACUAGUUCUACUAUCUGACCAAGUUUGGACGAAAAAUGUUGAAAACUCGCAGAGUUAUUUAAUAAAAUACAUUUCGCUUGCAAUAAGAAAAACAUUGAAAAUGUAUAUUCAAAUUCAAUUUUCUCCCGAAGAAUUUUACGGCAAUUACUGAUUUUUAAACGAGUUGUGCUCCUGCGGGUUUUAACGAAUUUUUUCUCAAAUUUUCACAGAACAUAGCUAAAGACGUCAGUUUCAAAAUUGUGUUCGGCUUUGUUCUAAUUUUGGAUAUUUUAAUAAUAAGGAGCAAUUCACACAAACGAUUCAGAAAUAUAUUGCAGUCGUCAAAGAAAUCGCCAUAUCAGCGGAAUGACGGAAUAAACAAAAAUUUCCGAACACAAUUUUUUAGAACAACUAUUUUACUGUAUAAAAAUGAUAUUUUCAUAAAUAUAUCUUAAAACCAGCAGGAACAUAACUCAAAAGCGUAAAGGUACCGCGACUUAAGAUUUUCCUGAAUAAUUCUAACAUCAUUUUAUUGUUUGUCAAUUUUACAACUUUAUCAUAUUUUGCAUGCAUUAGCUAACAUUUGGUGAAAUUUUGACGAAAAUCGGACUGAUUUUGAGCGCGCAGUAGCGAUUUUCCACAAAACGCUAAAAGGGUGUCCUGUAACCUUAACUUAGUGGUAAGCUAACUGGCUUUAGAACAACCGGCCCCGAGCACUAAAGGCUCAGAUCCUUUCCUAUACGGGCACUACAAUGUUGGCCCCCAACAUCUUCAUAGGCGUACGAAAGAGGAGCCGCAGCCCCUCCCCCCCAACCCAUGUCUAUUGGAAAAUAGGGCAAUUCUAUUUAAAAAUCGGGUAAGUGAUGAAAGGGAAGUUAUGGGAAGUUUAUGAUGUUUGUCAGGCAAUCUCCAUCAAGGUUGGGGAAAAAAGUUUUCUUGCUUUCUUGAUGCGUAAUUAGCUGAAACUGAAUGCGUAAUUAGCCCGUUGUAUAAUUUAUGCAUGAUUCAUAACUUACGGACCGGUCAUUAUUUAUGGUGGGGGGUGGCACCGAAGAGGGAUGUUUUUCGUGGAAAAAAUUUUGCUGACCCAACCAUUAGAAAGUCAAAAAUUUGAUUACUCAACCUCAACUAUCAAUUAAAAAAUAAAUACCCACCCCUGGCCAAAAACUUUACAAAAGGAUACCAUUCAGUUGUCACACAUGUCCUUUACCACUUCUGUGACAUGAGUUUGAUGACGGCUUGUGAAAUUUUCUGCAGUCUAAAGUUUCAUAUUGUCUGCACAUGUUGUUUCUUUGGAGACACCAUUUGUUUCCCAACAAAUCGGAAAAUGAUCAAGAUAGUGACUCUGAUUGAUUCACAUAUUGUAUUGACAUAUGACUGUUGACAUGGCUUUUUAGUCUCCAACAUUUCAGUGAGUCAUGCUUUGGAAAUGACAAUAAUUUUUUUUAUUACCUAAUUUGUUUUUCAUUUAACCAACCUUUUACUUACUCAAAAUUUUGUUUACCCAACCCUUUCCUCUUCGGUGCCAACCCCCACCAUAAAUAAUGACCGGUCCCUUAAUUC
RNAcentral lists this long non-coding RNA (2239 nucleotides) under Paramuricea clavata. Lineage: Eukaryota; Metazoa; Cnidaria; Anthozoa; Malacalcyonacea; Plexauridae. The record is from RNAcentral.